GGCAGAGUGGCUUAGUGGAAAAAUCAUGGGACUGAGAGCCAGGGGACAUGGGUUUUAAUCCCAACUCUGCCA
Molecule: transfer RNA, 72 nt
Filed under: Ornithorhynchus anatinus (platypus)
Lineage: Eukaryota; Metazoa; Chordata; Mammalia; Monotremata; Ornithorhynchidae
Rfam family: tRNA
About the family: Transfer RNA (tRNA) molecules are approximately 80 nucleotides in length. Their secondary structure includes four short double-helical elements and three loops (D, anti-codon, and T loops).
Source: Rfam by way of RNAcentral